Molecule: ribosomal RNA, 466 nt
Filed under: uncultured bacterium
Lineage: Bacteria
Description: bacterial SSU rRNA
Rfam family: Bacterial small subunit ribosomal RNA
Source: RNAcentral
AUCCAGACUCCUACGGGAGGCAGCAGUGAGGAAUAUUGGUCAAUGGCCGGAAGGCUGAACCAGCCAAGCCGCGUGAGGGAGGAAGGCGCAGAGCGUCGCAGACCUCUUUUGCCGGGGGACAAAAGGCCGGACUCGUCCGGUCCUGAGGGUACCCGGAGAAAAAGCAUCGGCUAACUCCGUGCCAGCAGCCGCGGUAAUACGGAGGGCGCGAGCGUUAAUCGGAAUUACUGGGCGUAAAGCGCGCGUAGGCUGUUGUGUAAGUUGGGGGUGAAAUCCCACGGCUCAACCGUGGAACAGCCCUUGAUACUGCGCGACUUGAAUCCGGGAGAGGGUGGCGGAAUUCCAGGUGUAGGAGUGAAAUCCGUAGAUAUCUGGAGGAACAUCAGUGGCGAAGGCGGCCACCUGGACCGGUAUUGACGCUGAGGCGCGAAAGCGUGGGGAGCAAACAGGAUUAGAUACCCCCGUA